AGCCCUUCUCGGAUUCAACCAUUCUUAAAAAUGGAAUAGAGAAUAAGUCAACAAAGAGCGGCAGCAAGAGAGCGACAGAGAAGACGAUGACAAAGGUU
Molecule: long non-coding RNA, 98 nt
Organism: Octopus sinensis (East Asian common octopus)
Lineage: Eukaryota; Metazoa; Mollusca; Cephalopoda; Octopoda; Octopodidae
Exons: 3
Source: RefSeq, a predicted model, not a curated record